Molecule: long non-coding RNA, 996 nt
Filed under: Homo sapiens (human)
Lineage: Eukaryota; Metazoa; Chordata; Mammalia; Primates; Hominidae
Description: HSALNT0007479
Source: RNAcentral
GAAUACUUCCUAACUCAUUCUAUAAGGCCAGCAUUACCUUAAUACCAAAACCAGACAAAGAUAUAAGAAAAUAAAAUAUAUCAGCAAAUAUCUUUCAUGAACAUAAAUGCAAAAUUCCUCAAAAAAAUGCCACCAUAUUGAAUACAUCAGGCAAAAAUGUGUUCAACCAAAUCCAAAAUGACCCUUAAAAAUAUAAAAUGGCCUACACAAUCUGUAUUUGCCAUGAAUAUAUUUACUAAUUGUAUUCACCACCCUACAUCUGUAAUUCUUAUCAAUACAGUAAUAAUUUACAAAUACCCUACAGCAAACCCAGUCACAUAUUCCAGCAGGGAGAAAUUCUCUCUCAUUUUCAGUCUUUUUAUACAUAUGCCUUGCACAUACGGAAAAAGAGUAAGCAUUUCCUGUUUGACGGGGAAGCGGGGAUUGUCUACUGUCAUUCAUUAAUGCAGGGCCCCUUUACAACAUAUGUUGGAUCAUAUGUUCAAUGAAUCUGAACAAAUUUAAAAUGUUUGUUCAAGGUCUUCCAAAUUCAUAAUCAGUGAAACAAAAAAAAUCUAAAAAAUUGUAGCAGUAUUUUUUUAAACUUAAUGUGAACAAUAUAAUGCAGCUAUUGAAUAUUUUUUCAUAUAUUAUCUAGCCAUUUGUGAUAAAUGUUUAAAAACCACAUUUAUAUAACACUACACCUUUUUGUUGGUCUUGGCACUUUUAAAGAUUUAACAGGUCUGCCUUUUUCCUCUUCUCUUCUUUUUGCCAACUCCUCAGCAGAGAGAUGCUAAAACAAAAUGCCAAUUGAUUAAGGAGUCCAUCAUCUACUAAGAGGCAGAAUAAAAAUAGUCCUUUAAAAUCAAAUUGAAGGGCAUGUGAGGACAAGAGAGACUAAAUUGAUAUAGAUGGGCUUCCUUUUUGCUACCAACAUGUAGAAAGACUGGACAGUAUUUUUAAAAAAUUGUUUCAAAAGACACGGCCAUCCCAAACUGAAAAUUUACUCCUUCUCUU